RNAcentral lists this transfer RNA (83 nucleotides) under Streptomyces fumanus. Its description in RNAcentral is "tRNA-Ser(cga)". Lineage: Bacteria; Bacillati; Actinomycetota; Actinomycetes; Kitasatosporales; Streptomycetaceae. The record is from RNAcentral.
CGGGGGUAGGCGGGCUCGGUGAACAGUUCCCUCUCGAAGAGGGAGAGGGUCUGCGUCUCGAGUUCGAAUCCGGUGUCCGCGUC